This is a long non-coding RNA of Oncorhynchus tshawytscha (Chinook salmon), 887 nucleotides long. RefSeq lists it as uncharacterized. The record is from RefSeq and is a predicted model, not a curated record. The transcript is spliced from 3 exons. NCBI's taxonomy places the organism in Eukaryota, Metazoa, Chordata, Actinopteri, Salmoniformes, Salmonidae.
AAAGAGUGUCGUCUCCGAACGUAUUCGCUGUUGGUUAAUCGAGGAGAGAGUGGUCGGAUAGAUGAACUGUUGAGAGCGACGUAGGUGGUACAGAAUCUGAUUCCACCAGCAUGUGCUUCCAACCCCUAGCUCUGCACAAGUUGAUGCCUUUCUCUUUGUAAAACUCAGGUUAUCUGGAGUCCUUCCAACGUGCCCUGCUCAAAAAUACCCCAAAGCAGCUGCAUUUUGUUUACACAAGCAUGAAGGAGGGGACACACCUUGCGGCUAUGGAGCACAACAAUAUUGUGGGACAGAAACCAGCAAGGGACACUGAAUGGUAUAAAAUCAAGACUACAACAAUAAUCACAACCACCUCAUUCUUCUCUCUGCAGAUUCUGAAAACAGAAUACAGACAUGCCUACAAAAAUCCCCUGCCAAGGGCUACUAUUGACAAAAAUGAUCUGUAAAGGUCAGUGGGCUGGGUUGUGCUUAGAGACAGUAAAUGUAUUGUGUACGAGAGCGAUUGAGAAGUGUCACUUCGCAAUCUCCCCUACUGACGUCUGAAGACUUUUCAGCCCUUCUGCAGCCACCAGCCCAUUCACUUCGUUGACUGAUCUUUCCUCUCAAAAGCUUUACCCACAAAACAUGUAAAAUGCAAACACCACAACCACGUCUUUCCAGUACCAGCCAAUCUUCUGCAAGAGGUCCAAACAGCUAGUGGUUAAGAAGGUCUACGAACCCUACACCACUUCCUGCAGAGUCUUAUCCAGCUGGCCAUACACUGCAGACAGGACAAGACCAUUUGCCACAAGCAAAGAGCAGCUUUCCCAGCCCGCCAUGGCAAACACCAUUGCCAGUGUACUGCAACCGGAUAAAGGACAGUGUGGCUCAUCACAAGACCAUGUAGA